RNAcentral lists this ribosomal RNA (253 nucleotides) under uncultured bacterium. Its description in RNAcentral is "partial 16S ribosomal RNA". It matches the Rfam family "Bacterial small subunit ribosomal RNA", at positions 524 to 776 of the family's 1533-position model. The record is from RNAcentral.
UACGUAGGGACCGAGCGUUGUCCGGAAUCAUUGGGCGUAAAGCGUAUGUAGGCGGGCUUCUAAGUCAGGUGUGAAAUCCCAUGGCUCAACCAUGGAAUUGCAUUUGAAACUGGAAGUCUUGAGUGUGGGAGAGAUUGGUAGAAUACCUGGUGUAGUGGUGAAAUACGUAGAUAUCAGGUGGAAUACCGGUGGCGAAGGCGGCCAAUUGGCCCAACACUGACGCUGAGAUACGAAAGCGUGGGGAUCAAACAGG